GAUUUGCACCAACAAUGAUGCAAGAUCAGAUCUGGGAAGUAGUGAAAAAUCAUAUACCACCAAAACUAUUUAGAUUGAACGAAUUAGCAUUACAACAUGGUCAUCGUGUUUUGAGACUUCCUCCAUAUCACUGCGAGUAUAAUCCAAUCGAAAUGGUAUGGUCAGAAUGCAAACGGCAUUACGAUGCAAGGAUCGGUUCAAUUCAGCCUGUCACACACAGUGCCGUUUUGUCUUUAUGGAAU
This is a long non-coding RNA of Photinus pyralis (common eastern firefly), 242 nucleotides long. RefSeq lists it as uncharacterized. The record is from RefSeq and is a predicted model, not a curated record. Lineage: Eukaryota; Metazoa; Arthropoda; Insecta; Coleoptera; Lampyridae. The transcript has 2 exons.